Molecule: long non-coding RNA, 456 nt
Organism: Spinacia oleracea (spinach)
Lineage: Eukaryota; Viridiplantae; Streptophyta; Magnoliopsida; Caryophyllales; Amaranthaceae
Exons: 3
Source: RefSeq, a predicted model, not a curated record
GGUUUUUUAAUCAUCAAUUGGUUGAGAUGGAGAUGGAGAAGGAGGCGGCAUCGGUCGGCCCUUUUCACGUUGAAUCUCUUCAAAAAUCAAAACCCUCAUCAUCAUCUAACCAAAGGAGGCGGCAUCGGUCGAUUAAUUAGGGUUUCAAAACCCUCACGUUGAUUUUUUUUGAGUGAAGUUCUUACUGAGGCGAUGGCUUCUUCAUCAGCACCGCCAGUGCAGAAACCGUGAGAAGUACAAUCAGGAGGCUCGGGGAGCAGAAGGAGAGUUAGAUCUUUCAUGUGUACUACACCAAAGUGAGUUGCGAUCGGUUCGUUCCUCGGGCCGUGCUCAUGGACCCGAUAACUUAGUGUGGACUAGAGUUUCUGACCUUUGGAACUCUGAGUAAACCUUUGAAAAACUAUUGUUUCAGCUUUAUUUUUCCUCAAAAAUUAUGUUUUUAUGUGACUAAUUUGU